CAUUAAAGAGUUCUAUAACUCCCAAACCCAUGUGAACAUACCUAACGUUGCCUCGGCAGGUCGCACCUACCUUGUAGCACCCUACCCUGUAGGGCCUACCCGGGAGGUGCGGGUAAGCCUGCCGGCGGCCCACCAAACUCUGUUUGAUAUUGAAUUCUGAACCUAUAACUAAAUAAGUUAAAACUUUCAACAACGGAUCUCUUGGUUCUGGCAUCGAUGAAGAACGCAGCGAAAUGCGAUAAGUAAUGUGAAUUGCAGAAUUCAGUGAAUCAUCGAAUCUUUGAACGCAUAUUGCGCCCAUUAGUAUUCUAGUGGGCAGGACCGUUCGAGCGUCAUUUCAACCCUUAAGCCUUCGUUGCUUAGUGUUGGGAGCCUACGGCAACGUAGCUCCUCAAAGUUAGUGGCGGAGUUAGUUCACACUCUAGACGUAGUAAUUUUUUAUCUCGCCUAUUAGUUGGACUAAUCCCCUGCCGUAAAACCCCCAAUUUAUCAAGGUUGACCUCGAAUCGGUUCAGACAAACUCGCUAAAUUGAAGCAUCUUAGUCAGCGAAGGAAAAGAAACCAACAGGGAUUGCCCUAGUAACGGCGAGUGAAGCGGCAACAGCUCAAAUUUGAAAUCUGGCCCUCGGGUCCGAGUUGUAAUUUGUAGAGGAUGCUUUUGGCGCGGUGCCUUCCGAGUUCCCUGGAACGGGACGCCUUAGAGGGUGAGAGCCCCGUACGGUUGGACACCAAGCCUCUGUAAAGCUCCUUCGACGAGUCGAGUAGCUUGGGAAUGCUGCUCUAAAUGGGAGGUAAAUUUCUUCUAAAGCUAA
This 812-nucleotide ribosomal RNA is filed under the name fungal endophyte. Its description in RNAcentral is "eukaryotic LSU rRNA". The stretch from base 497 to 812 matches the Rfam family "Eukaryotic large subunit ribosomal RNA", at positions 1 to 319 of the family's 3401-position model. Lineage: Eukaryota; Fungi. The record is from RNAcentral.